AAUUCUACAGGGAAUUUGGAAGUCAACAAAAAAACUCCCAUAUUUUUCUGACCUUUAAAAUAUUUUUUAUGAAUUUUUUAAGGUGUUUAUGAUUUUUUAAUAAUUAUUUGAAUAUAUUAAUUAAGUUUCAUUAAAAGCAAUUUCGUAAAUACUGCAACAGUGGCGCGGUAAACAUCCAUUUCAAACUUUCAAACGGAAAUAUGGAUCAAAUGAGAUUAUUUUCCAG
RNAcentral lists this long non-coding RNA (226 nucleotides) under Lathyrus oleraceus (garden pea). RNAcentral describes it as "Pisum sativum (pea) long non-coding RNA (PSAT_LNC005546)". The record is from RNAcentral. Lineage: Eukaryota; Viridiplantae; Streptophyta; Magnoliopsida; Fabales; Fabaceae.